AUCGAACGCUGGCGGCAUGGCUAAAACAUGCAAGUCGAACGCGAAAGGGAGCAAUCCCAAGUAGAGUGGCGGACGGGCGAGUAAUGCAUUCCUAACGUACCUCGAGGUCAGGGAUAGCCAAGGGAAACCUUGGGUAAUACCUGAUGACCCCACCGGGCUGCAUGGCCUGGUGUGCAAAGGCUUGUAUGCCUCGAGAUCGGGGAAUGUGCUAUCAGGUAGUUGGNGAGGUAACGGCUCACCAAGCCUAAGAUGGCUAGCGGGUGUGAGAGCACGACCCGCCGCAUCGGGACUGAGACACUGCCCGGACUCCUACGGGAGGCUGCAGUAACGAAUCUUCCGCAAUGGGCNCAAGCCUGACGGAGCAAUGCCGCGUGUGGGAUGAAGUCCCUCGGGAUGUAAACCACUGUCAGGAUUUAGCAACACAAUGAGCAAAUCCAGAGGAAGAGACGGCUAACUCUGUGCCAG
RNAcentral lists this ribosomal RNA (465 nucleotides) under uncultured bacterium. RNAcentral describes it as "bacterial SSU rRNA". It matches the Rfam family "Bacterial small subunit ribosomal RNA", at positions 30 to 511 of the family's 1533-position model. The record is from RNAcentral.